RNAcentral lists this transfer RNA (77 nucleotides) under Candidatus Midichloria mitochondrii IricVA. Its description in RNAcentral is "tRNA-Met". The record is from RNAcentral. Lineage: Bacteria; Pseudomonadati; Pseudomonadota; Alphaproteobacteria; Rickettsiales; Candidatus Midichloriaceae.
UGGUGGGACCUGCAGGACUUGAACCUGCGACAACACCGUUAUGAGCGGUGCGUUCUAACCAGCUGAACUAAGGUCCC